AGAGUUGAUCAUGGCUCAGGAUGAACGCUGGCGGCGUGCCUAACACAUGCAAGUCGAACGAAGCACUUAGCGGAACCUCGGGGAAGCUGUGUGACUGAGUGGCGGACGGGUGAGUAACGCGUAUGCAACCUGCCCCCAUCAGGGGAAUAGCCCGCCGAAAGGCGGAUUAAUGCCCCAUAGGCCCAGGGCGCCGCAUGGCGCUAUGGGUAAAGCUCCGGCGGAUGGGGAUGGGCAUGCGUGCCAUUAGCUAGUUGGGGCGGUAACGGCGCACCAAGGCGACGAUGGCUAGGGGGUCUGAGAGGAUGGUCCCCCACACUGGUACUGAGACACGGACCAGACCCCUACGGGAGGCAGCAGUGAGGAAUAUUGGUCAAUGGGCGGAAGCCUGAACCAGCCAAUGCCGCGUGCAGGAUGACGGCCCUACGGGUUGUAAACUGCUUUUCCCCGGGAAGAAUAAGCCCCUCGUGAGGGGUGAUGCCGGUACCGGGGGAAUAAGGAUCGGCUAACUCCGUGCCAGCCGCCGC
Molecule: ribosomal RNA, 524 nt
Filed under: uncultured bacterium
Lineage: Bacteria
Description: bacterial SSU rRNA
Rfam family: Bacterial small subunit ribosomal RNA
Source: RNAcentral